AUCCUUUUGUAGUUCUUAAGCGUGAUGAUUGGGUUUUUACGCAUGUGUGUGAGAUGUGCCACCCUCAAACCUUGUUACAGAUCGGCACAUUACCCUUCUGACG
Molecule: small nucleolar RNA, 103 nt
Filed under: Carlito syrichta (Philippine tarsier)
Lineage: Eukaryota; Metazoa; Chordata; Mammalia; Primates; Tarsiidae
Description: Small nucleolar RNA U13 (ENSTSYG00000027136.1)
Rfam family: Small nucleolar RNA U13
Source: Rfam by way of RNAcentral